This 468-nucleotide ribosomal RNA is filed under the name uncultured bacterium. Its description in RNAcentral is "partial 16S ribosomal RNA". It matches the Rfam family "Bacterial small subunit ribosomal RNA", at positions 28 to 507 of the family's 1533-position model. The record is from RNAcentral.
GACGAACGCUGGCGGCGUGCUUAACACAUGCAAGUCGAACGGAAAGGCCCUGCUGUUGUGGGGUGCUCGAGUGGCGAACGGGUGAGUAACUCGUGAGUAACCUGCCCUUGACUUUGGGAUAACUUCAGGAAACUGGGGCUAAUACCGGCUAGGAGCUCCUGCUGCAUGGCGUGGGUUGGAAAGUUUCGGCGGUUGGGGAUGGACUCGGGGCUCAUCAGCUUGUGGGUGGGGUAGUGGCUUACCAAGGCUUUGACGGGUAGCCGGCCUGAGAGGGUGACCGGCCACAUUGGGACUGAGAUACGGCCCAGACUGCUACGGGAGGCAGCAGUGGGGGAUAUUGCACAAUGGGCGGAAGCCUGAUGCAGCAACGCCGCGUGCGGGAUGACGGCCUUCGGGUUGUAAAGCGCUUUCGCCUGUGACGAAGCGUGAGUGACGGUAAUGGGUAAAGAAGCACCGGCUAACUACGUG